RNAcentral lists this long non-coding RNA (2294 nucleotides) under Mytilus galloprovincialis (Mediterranean mussel). Lineage: Eukaryota; Metazoa; Mollusca; Bivalvia; Mytilida; Mytilidae. The record is from RNAcentral.
AUGAAAAGGAGAAAUAAAGUUAUCACACUUGAUGCAGUGGUAGCAUUUAUUUUAUCUAUAUCCAAAAUAUGGAGCCUUAUAAAUUUUCAGUAUCUCUAUAAAAGGAGUUAAACCAGGUGCUCCGCAGGGUGCAGCUUUAUACGACGCAGAGGUCGAAACCCUGAACAGUUGGGGCAAUAUGGACAAAACGUUCGCGUGAUACGCUCUGAAUUUGGAUUGUGAUCAAAUUUUUUGACAUAACAUGUUUUUUUUUACAAAAAAAUGUCAAGAUUUUACAAAUCAUUAAAGAUUUCUUCUUCAAAUUUUUAAAUCUAAAAUUAAAUAGUUGACACAGCAUAGGUUUCUGACACAGAAUGAAUGUGGUUAAGAACUUAAAAUAUUUUUUUUGCCUUUGAGCAAUUCCUAUGCUGUUGAAUAUUAUCCUCUCAAAAAAAUGUUUGAAGAAAUUUUCUUUUUAUUUAUGAAAUCUAAAUGAGAAAAAUUUAAACCCCCCUUUUUCACAUCCCCGUUUCCCUUUUUCCAAACUGAUAUCAAUUCAAAUUUCUAAUGGAGUUUGCAACAAUAACUACUCUUUAAAACAUCAUAAAAUAUUAAAAUGUAAAAUAAAGUGCUUGUUAUCAGAAUGGUAAAGAUUGGUUGUAGUAAAAGUGAAUAUAAUUGUUUAUUGUAUAAAACAAUAAAAAAAACUUCAUCAACAACAUUUUAUAUUGGCAAAUUUCCAAUGAAGUUAUUAACAUAAAGUUAUUGGCAAAUAAAAAGAAAAUGACAUCAUAGUCAUGUCUGGCAAAUGUCCAACAUACAUUAUCUAAAAACAUUUUAGAUAAGAUAAGGAAAAAAAGCUUCAUCAGCAACAUUUAUAUUUGGCAAAUUUCAAUGAAGUUAUUUACAUAAAGUUAUUGCAAAUAAAAAUAGAAAAUGACAUCAUAGUCAUGUCGUCAAUUCCAACAUAUAUUAUCAACUUCUAUUCUAUACAAAGAAAGAUAACUCCAAUUGAAAAUUUAAUUGCUAUUGCAAAUAUGUGCAAUUAGAUAUUUCUUGCUAUUGUGCAAUACUGUGCAAUUGAAAAUCUUGCUAUUGCACAAUACUUGAUAUGGAUCCUGAUUUGGACCAAACUUGAAAACUGGGCCCAUAAUCAAAAAUCAAAUACAUAUUUAGAUAAAGCAUAUCAAAUAAGCCCAAGAAUUUAAUUUUUGUUAAAAUCAAACUAGUUUAAUUUUGGACCUUUGGACCUUAAUGUAGACAUUUGAAAACUGGACCAAAAAUUAAGAAUCUACAUACACAGUUAGAUUUGGCAUAUCAAAGAACCCAUUAUUCAAUUUUUGAUGAACAAAGUUUAAUUUUGGACCCCCAUUUGGACCAACUUGAAAACUGGCCAAUAAUUAAAAAUCUAAGUACAUUUCUAAAUUCAGCAUAUCAAACAACCCCCAGGAUUCAAUUUUUGUUAAAAUCAAACUAAGUUUAAUUUUGGACCCUUUGGACCUUAAUUAGACCAAUUUGAAAACGGGACCAAAAAUUAAGAAUCUUCAUACACAGUUAGAUUCGGCAUACCAAAGAACCCCAAUUAUUCAAUUUUUGAUGAAAUCAAACAAAGUUUAAUUUGGACCCUUUGGGCCCUUUAUUCCUAAACUGUUGGGACCAAAUCUCCCAAAUCGAUCCAACCUUCCUUUUAUGGUCAUAAACCUUGUGUUUAAAUUUCAUAGAUUUUAUUUACUUAAACUAAAGUUAUUUGUGCGAAAACCAAGAAUAAUGCUUAUUUGGGCCCUUUUUUGCCCCUAAUUCCUAAACUGUUGGAACCCAAAACUCCAAAAUCAAUCCAACCUUUCUUUUGUGGUCAUAAACCUUGUGUCAAAAUUUCAUAGAUUUCUAUUAACUUAAACUAAAGUUAUAGUGCGAAAACCAAGAAAAUGCUUAUUUGGGCCCUUUUUGGCCCCUUAUUCCUAAAAUGUUGGGACCAAAACUCCCAAAAUCAAUCCCAACUUCCUUGUGGUCAUAAACCUAUGUUAAAAUUUCAUAGAUUUCUAUUCACUUUUACUAAAGUUAGAGUGCGAAAACUAAAAGUAUUGGGACGACGACGACGCCGACAACGCCAACGUGAUAGCAAUAUACGACGAAAAUUUUUUCAAAUUUUGCGGUCGUAUAAAAAGUAAAUUGGAUUUAUGAGAUCAACUAAUCAAUUAUAAAAUUAUAAAGACAUAAAUACAACCAUUAGAAAGAUUAUGUUUAUAACUGAAUGAUAACAAAUUAACACAUGUUAUUUAUUGCAAAAAUUUCAUAAUACAUGAUAUUCAUAUAUC